Molecule: long non-coding RNA, 322 nt
Organism: Octopus bimaculoides (California two-spot octopus)
Lineage: Eukaryota; Metazoa; Mollusca; Cephalopoda; Octopoda; Octopodidae
Source: RefSeq, a predicted model, not a curated record
UAUUGCUGCCUUUCCGUAGUGAAUCCUGGUCCUGUAGACAACUAUCACCUAGGACAGGGGUGGGGAAGCCCCCCACCCCACCCGCAGGCUGAUAUGUUCGCAACGUCACUUUGAAAGGAUAUGAUCAUAAAGAGACUACAGUACCAGGAAAUAGUGGAGUUUCGUGGUCGCUUAAGGAAUGCAAUAGCAGCCCCUAUGAGUUCGACAAAUGAAGACAGAAAUGAAAGUGAAGAAGCUCAUUCAAUGAAUAAAUAAAAGUAUUCUAUAUAGGUGAUUGGUUGUUAAAUGCAGAUAAUUUAUGUAAUAAAUACCUAACGACUAA